RNA transcript from Leptidea sinapis, 6475 nucleotides. It is a transcript of the gene named netrin-1-like, with no coding region annotated. The transcript is spliced from 8 exons. The record is from RefSeq and is a predicted model, not a curated record. NCBI's taxonomy places the organism in Eukaryota, Metazoa, Arthropoda, Insecta, Lepidoptera, Pieridae.
GAGAGCACGCGUCCCGACCGCGAGUGACAGUGAGUGAGCAUGUUCCGCGCCGUGGCCAUCGUGGCCACCGCGGCCUUGGCCAUCGGAGCCUCGCCGCCCGACCCCUGCUACGAGGAUGGUCGGCCCCGCCGCUGCAUCCCCGACUUCGUGAACGCAGCCUUCGGGAAUUCCGUCGUCGCCUCCUCGAUCUGCGGCAAGAGAGGUCCCGAGCGCUUGUGCGACCCUCCCGGAGACCAGAGCCCCGAGGCCGCGUGCCGGGUGUGCGACGCCGCGCGCGCUGACCGUCGCCACCCGCCGGCGCACCUCACGGACCUCAACAACCCUCACGACCUGACCUGCUGGCGCUCAGCCGCGCUACCCCCUGCUACCCACGACUCUCCUCCCGACAACGUGUCCCUGACGCUCUCGCUGGCCAAGAAAUACGAGCUCACCUACGUCAGCCUGCAGUUCUGUCCGAAGGCGGCGCGUCCCGACUCCGUGGCCAUCUACAAGAGCGCGGACUACGGCGUCACCUGGCAGCCGUUCCAGUUCUAUUCCAGCCAGUGCCGGCGGGUGUACGGGAGGCCCAACAAGGCUACUGUCACCUCAGCCAACGAACAGGAGGCGCGCUGCUCCGACUCCCACAGGCUGGGCGGAGACACCGGAAGCGGAGCGCGGCUGGCGUUCAGCACUCUGGAAGGAAGACCCAGCGCCUCCAACUUCGACGUGUCGCCGGUGCUGCAGGACUGGGUGACGGCUACGGAUGUGCGGGUGGUUUUCAACAGGCUGCACAUGGUGAGCGAGGGAGACGAGCCGGAUGGGAGGCGGCAGGCGGCACCAGGCUCGCAGCACUACGCCGUGUCGGACUUCGCCGUCGGCGGCCGCUGCAAGUGUAACGGACACGCGUCGCGGUGUAUUCCGAUGAAGGGUGAUGACGGACAGGUGAUGCAGCUGGCGUGCGACUGCAAGCACAACACGGCCGGCCGCGACUGCGAGAGAUGCAAGCCCUUCCACUUCGACCGACCCUGGGGCCGCGCCACCGCGAGGGACGCCAAUGAAUGCAAAGAGUGCAACUGCAACGGGCACGCGCGCCGUUGCCGGUUCAACAUGGAGCUGUUCAAGCUGUCAGGGCGUGCCAGUGGCGGCGUGUGUCUGAAGUGCCGCCACUACACAGCCGGACGCCACUGUCACUACUGCCGCGAGGGAUACUACCGGGACCCAGCCAAGCCCAUCACACACAAGAAGGCCUGCAAACCGUGCGACUGCCACCCGGUGGGUGCGAGCGGUAAGACCUGCAACCAGACGAGCGGCCAGUGUCCCUGCAAGGACGGCGUCACCGGCACCACCUGCAACCGCUGCGCCAAGGGCUACCAGCAGUCCCGGAGCCACAUCGCACCCUGCAUACGUAUUCCCCGCGUGGUGACUGCUGUGCAGGCCAUGGAAGCAGUGGACGCAGACCCGGGCCGCGCGGAGCAGUGCGGCCGGUGUCGCGCCGCCGCCAGAACUCUCAAUCUCAACAAGUUCUGCAGCCGAGACUACGUCAUAAUGGGUCGAGUGGUCGCACGCGAGGGCGGCAGCGCGGACGCGUGGGUUCGGCUGACGUUAAGCGUGCAGGCCGUGUACAAGCGCGCGCCGCGGUCGCGCCUACGCAGAGGGCAGCUCGCACUCUACGUCCGCGCCACAGACCUCGCCUGCAAGUGUCCCAAGAUCAAGAUUAACAAGUCCUACCUAAUCCUAGGAGUGGAAAAAGAAGGAAUAUCGUCAGGCUUGCCGGGAUUAACAGUCGGAGAUAGAACCCUGUUGUUGGAGUGGCGCGACGACUGGCACAGACGUAUCCGACGACUUCAACGGCGAGCUGUCAACUGUCACUAACUGCCGCCAUAUUUAAAAAGUAUUCGCGAGGCAACAGUCGCGGGUAGAGCCUCUAAAAUCGAAUGUUGAAUGGAUCCGUCUAUGUUCCGUGCAAAACUGCCAUUAUGCUGUCUAAUAUAGUUACGACUAGUCGUCUGUAAGUUAAUUAAUAGAUUCAUUAGAUAUAUCACGAUAACUUCGCUUUUGUAAAUUUAACUCGAUUUUUCAGGUAUGACAACAUUGACCCUAUCAUUUUAUACCAAAAAUAUUCUUCUAUUCCCUGCUAGGAUUUCGUUAUCACUUUACUCUUAAAUUCGUUAUUUUCGUCAUUAACGAUCGAUUUUUUGUAAGAAAGUGACUUUUAAGAUUAUUUAUUGACUUAUAUAAUAUAGAUAUAGAGUUUCGUUCCAUUUCAUGCAUUUUUUGUAAAAUUGUUAUUUUAUAUCGAAAUGCGUAUGUUAAUAUUGUUUUAGGAAGUUUGAGGCGUGAGUGUUAGGUUAGGCGCGUUUUAACUUUUUGUAUGAUAUAGAGUUAAGAGUUUGAUUCAUAUCCACAUUAGUCAUAAAGUUAUGUACCUCAUUUAUUAAGUAACUAAGCCUAGAAUUAUUUAAAAGGGGUUAAACAAAUUUUGAGCCGAUAUUGAUGUUUUCGUUUUCCGAAAAGGCUUUCGAGCGAAGUAAUGAUUUUUGUUGUAAUCAAUGACUCCCAUCGGUCAACAUUUUUGUAAACGCACAUUAAAUUUUGCUCAACCAACUCAACCCCUUUUGUUUCAAAUCAAUCUUAAUUAGAUACCUUAUAUGUUAAUGAAUUCUCCGAAAAACAUAGUAGAUAUAAUCCCAAGGAGAAUAAGGAUUUUUAAAAAGUAUUUGUUGUACCGCAAGUAGUAGUAAUGCCAAGCAGACUCAAUGUCGUCAUUUUUCAAUCUUGCCAAAGUAAGCCGUAAGUAAUUCCGAGUCGGCCUAUUUACUUACUUUUUGUACUUCUAAAGUAACUCUGCCUCAUUUAAAAUGUACAGUAUUAUUAGUUUUACUUCAGUAAAAUAAUUUGAAAACGUAUUCAGUUAUAGAAAUACUACGCUUGAUUCUUGAAAGACAAAGUAUCCACAAAUAAUGAUUCCAACCGCCGUCAUAAUAUUAUUUAAAUAACAAUUGUUUUGCUUGAAAUCGAUUUGCUUUCCCGUUGUAAGUGGUUAAAUAAUAAAUUGUGAAAGUUACGUCUAUGGGGGCUCAUUUAACUCAGAGCUGUCCAAACGCCAAUACAGUGAGCGUUUCUCACAGAUUAUUUUAUAUAAAUAUUGCAGUUGAAAGAAAACUACCAAAUUAAAAUAAUUUGCUUGUAAUAUUCUGUAGUCAACAUGAAUAGCAUGACAAUACAAAAGUUUCCGCAAUUCACACAUUCCCUUUGUAAUAGUACAAUCAGGUACAAUAUCUAAAUAGUAUAGUCGUGUAAUGAGGUACAAUUGAGCCGUCAGCGUCAGCGAUCUCGCAGGUACUGUCACGUACACAAUGCAACCAAUCAUCUUGAUGGUUCAACAAUUUACAAUUAUGUGUUCUGUUGUGUGUGGCGCUGUCGCCCGGGUUAAUGUUCGCUAAACUAUACUUCAAGAAACUGAAAUAAAUAACAUGAUAUAUAGAAUUAUUAAUGCAAGCAAUAUGCGAUUAAAGAAUAAACUUUUUUAAUAUGUAUUUAAUUUUAUUAAAUGAUAUUGAUAAUCAAAUUAUGUUCUAAGAAAACUUUUUUGCUUUAGUCAAUGCCUUUUAAAGAGUAUUUAUUAAAAGAUCUAAAAGAAAAAGUUUGCCAUCACACAAAACUAUAAUAUUUUUCUCUAAGUGAACAUAUCGUGAGUAUAUAUUUAUUGUUUCGCGUGAACUGGAAAGUAAUCUUUAUGGAAACGGUGUAAUGUUGAUGGAUAUUGUUCCAAUUUUAUGAACUCUAAUCGGCUUCAUAAAUCAAAUAAGAUUAUUUAAAUUAUGCUUUCCGAUACCGUUCAUGUUCUUGGUAUAAGCACAAUAUUGAACAAUGUAAUUAAAGUUAACAUUUUGCCUGGCGUUUCAUGGAAAUCAUUACGUGGGAUCUUAUGUUACAUAAACAGAGAAUGAGAUGUUCCAUAGCUCUCUUGAACAAAGAAUCCUGGUUGAUUUCUAUGUCAAUGAAAACAGGAACGAUUUGGAAAGCAUUGGCCUUCCCAAAUUUAUGGGCUCUAAAUGGUUACCACGUCAAAUCUAUAGUAUCUAUCUUAAGUCAAAUAUAAUCAUUUAUAUCAGUUAGACAAAGUAACUACACGAAAUCGAAAAUACACCUUCACUAUUACCACAAAUGAAUAUAUAUUAUUGUAGACAAAAAAACAACUUGUUUUAUAUGAGAGUACUAGCUGAUGCCCGCGACUUCGUCCGCAUAGAUAAAGGGUUUUUAAAAAUAAUAAGCAAGUUUGGAAUUGAAGAUUAUCUCAUGUCCUAUUCCAGUUCCGGUUCCCGUUUUCGCUCCCGUUCCCAACAUAUUAUAUGCAUCUUAUUUCGAGGAAGAUUGAUAUAGAAAAUUAAAUAUUACUAUUUGUAUAGUAAUAGCUAAUCGACGUGAAUAUCAGUUUUUCACAAAUCCAGUGGAAACCAUGAAUUUUUCCAGGAUUGAUCCGGGGAUUGAUACAUUUGAAUGUAGCAUAUGUCUUUUCCCAAGAUCCAGUGUAUCGCUGUACAAAAUUUCAUCAAAAUCGAUUCAGUAGCUACGGUGUAAAGGCAUAACAAAAAACUUACACUCUCAUUUAUAAUAUUAGAAGGGAUUUGUAAAACAUUUUUAUUAUGAUCGCGACUGUACCUAAUUGAUAGUUUACGACUUACGUCUUACAUUAGCUAUUAUUGAUGAUGUUAAUCCGGUUUUAAGCAAUAAUUGAAUACGUUUUCCAAAAUAUUUAAAUAAUCAUUUGAUAGCAUGACUUAGAAUCGCUUGAUUGUAACUGUAAAAAGUGUAUUUAGGAAUUAGAUGGAUUUAAUUAAUAUUUUAGAUUAUUAUCUUUAGAUUUAUAUUAUUCGAGAAAAUCUAUUUUGCGCUUUAUUUAGUAAAGUGCUAUGGAACUUUUCUCACUAUAAACCUCUUUAUUCAACUAUAUAAAUUACGUUUGGGAUGAGAUAUUGCUGUCAAUUGUGAAAAACUCCAAUUUUUGCUGUUGUCUGUUCUACAAAUUAAUCAAAGACUAAACCACCCCACAGAUACAUGAUUAUAGUUAUGUCAAAUAAAAUAUUGAAUACGUCAUAAUAUAAUUACUUAGAUAAUUUAUACGUCUAGAUAGUCUCUUUCUGUUCAACAACUGAUAAAAACAAGCCAGGAAUAUUAGUUUAGUGUGCGUGACACGCUACGUCUUACACUCGUGAUUUGUAUGACACUUUGUGUUAGUGUGCGUUAUGCUCCAAUAGAGGUUAGUUCUAAAGCCAUUUUUUGACGUUUUCACAGCUGUCAUAGUCUAUCUCGACGUAUAAAUGAUCUAGGUUUAAUGACUUGAAAGGAAACAAUAACCAUAACAUAAUUCGAGAAACUCUGCGGUUACUCCUUUAAAUAAAACAGGUUUAAAGUCAAUAAUAAUAAAUAACUUACCAUUUUAUUAAAAUUCUACAUUUUCCAUGUAAAUGUUAACAUAACUUUCAAGAAGCAUUUUAAAGCAUUUCUAUGUAUUAAUUAAUAUAUCUCGGAAUAAAAUAAUUAGAAUAAAAUAUGAGUUUAUUUGUAAGUAGAAAGCAUAACAAACCAAAAAAAAAUAAAAAAUAAAUAUCGACGCUGCAGAAGUAAUCUUGGAUUUGAUGUAAUAAUAUAUUUUAAUAAUUAUUUAUUAUAACAUUGGAAAUUUGUAAUCUAAAAACGAACCAUAACAAACAAUUUUACUUUGAGUCUUAUUUUUCUUUGACACCACGGACAAUUAAAAAAAGAAGGACUCCGCGUCGUGUUAUUAGCAAGUGGAGCACCGUUAUGCUAGUGUGUGUGCGAUUACGGGGGAUACUAGUUACACAAUUUUUUCUCCCUUAAAUAAUCAUAUAUGGCCACAAAUACUUAUAUAGUAUCAUUUUUACACUUAUUCACAACGCACGACGGCAUUUUUAAAAAUAUUUUAUUGAGACGCAAACUGAUCUGUCACAGACGAUGACAAUUCUCAUAAUGGCCGCCUAUCGGCCUGUAGUAGUGUAAGUUUGUGCGUGGGGCUAUGUAUUUACACGUUAAUUGGCUUGUUUUGGUCCUACACUGUUAUGUAAGGUGACACGGAGUCCUUAUUUAUUACUAGUCGGAGGUUUUGGAGUUAUUUUUGUUUUUAUAUGUCAACGUCGUGAAUAUGUUCGCAUUUAUUCGUCGCAAAAGUAAAGUAUCAAAUCUUCACUACUAUUAUUGGUCUCGAAUAUCGGUAUGCUGCGACUUAAUUAAGAAGCAGUCCAGUAUUCAUCUUAUGUUACCUUGUUUUUGAUCACUUUCCCUGUUCUCUUUGAAUGGUUUUAGUUUGUGAUUGUUUCAUAAUUUGAUCGGAGCAUAUUUGCAUAGAAUUUAUUGUACAUAAAACUGUACUUAAUCGUUAAGCACAAUGUAUUCUACUUAAAAUAAAAAUCGCAGUUGUUUUUGACAAAUAUAGAAAAAAUUGUAUAAUAUGAAAUAAACGAGAUCCGACGUUAUA